RNAcentral lists this ribosomal RNA (402 nucleotides) under uncultured eukaryote. RNAcentral describes it as "SSU rRNA". It matches the Rfam family "Eukaryotic small subunit ribosomal RNA", at positions 82 to 482 of the family's 1831-position model. The record is from RNAcentral.
CGAAACCGCGAAUGGCUCAUUAAAUCAGUUAUGGUUCACUAGAUCGUACAGUUUACAUGGAUAACUGUGGUAAUUCUAGAGCUAAUACAUGCACCCAGUCCGUUCCCUCGUGGAGCGGAUGCAGUUAUUUGCCCAAAACCAAUCCGGCCUUCGGGUCGGUCAAUUGGUGACUCUGAAUAACCGAAGCGGAGCGCAUGGUCUCGUACCGGCGCCAGAUCUUUCAAGUGUCUGACUUAUCAGCUUGUUGUUAGGUUAUGUUCCUAACAAGGCAUCAACGGGUAACGGAGUGUCAGGGCCCGACACCGGAGAGGGAGCCUGAGAAACGGCUACCACAUCCAAGGAAGGCAGCAGGCGCGCAAAUUACCCACUCCCGGCACGGGGAGGUAGUGACGAAAAAUAACG